CCUACGGGGGGCAGCAGUGGGGAAUAUUGGGCAAUGGACGCAAGUCUGACCCAGCAACGCCGCGUGAAGGAAGAAGGCUUUCGGGUUGUAAACUUCUUUUAAGGGGGAAGAGCAGAAGACGGUACCCCUUGAAUAAGCCACGGCUAAAUACGUGCCAGCAGCCGCGGUAAUACGUAUGGAGCAAGCGUUAUCCGGAUUUACUGGGCGUAAAGGGAGCGUAGGCGGCCUGCCAAGUCUGAUGUGAACUACCGGGGCUCAACCCCGGGGCUGCAUUGGAAACUGGCAGGCUGGAGUGCCGGAGAGGCAGGCGGAAUUCCUAGUGUAGCGGUGAAAUGCGUAGAUAUUAGGAGGAACACCAGUGGCGAAGGCGGCCUGCUGGACGGUGACUGACGCUGAGGCUCGAAAGCGUGGGGAGCAAACAGGAUUAGAUACCCCUGUAGUC
This 442-nucleotide ribosomal RNA is filed under the name uncultured bacterium. RNAcentral's name for it is "partial 16S ribosomal RNA". It matches the Rfam family "Bacterial small subunit ribosomal RNA", at positions 338 to 795 of the family's 1533-position model. The record is from RNAcentral.